This is a non-coding RNA of Zonotrichia albicollis (white-throated sparrow), 5342 nucleotides long. The record is from RefSeq and is a predicted model, not a curated record. Lineage: Eukaryota; Metazoa; Chordata; Aves; Passeriformes; Passerellidae.
GCAAAACCCAAACGUGAGGAGAGCACAGCUCCCUGCCCGCUGCAAAGGCAAAUCAUUCCUCAAAGAACAGGAAUCUGCACAGAAUUGGUUCUGUCCCCACCCAUCAGCAGCAGCACGUUCCCCUGCUGAGCAUGGAGGGAGGACUCUGCUGCUCCAUCCAAGGGAAGAUAAAGUCACCCCGUCAGGAAACUGCAAUUUCUCCUCCCUUUAUUCUGACAGGAAUCCAAAAUGACAGCGCUGUUCUAGAAGCUUUUCUCCAUGACACACUUUACAGUGAGCAACAAUUUCUUGUUUAAUAAUUAAAACCAUUCCCUGGGUAAUCACAGCAGUUCUCUGGUAUCUGAAAAAAUAACUUUAUUUUAUCAAUGAGAGCACGUGGACAAAAUUAAAUCAUCUUUCAAAACCUCUCCAAAAUCUGAAAUAUCCUCAUGUCCUUUUCCUGCACCUUUCCCAUAGGCAGGAGUACUUAAGGAGUAGACACAGCGAGGAAGACAAAAAAUGCAAAUAAGCAAAAGACUAAAUAAAAAACAUCAGGGAGAGAAUUAUUUUAUGCAAUAGAAAAGAUUUUGCUGGAGUGGGCCUUCUGCCACCCAUCCCUGCAGAACUCCUGAGGUUAUCACACUGCUCCUAGCUGAGAGAAAAACAGGUUAAUUGCACCAGAUCUGGGUUUGGAAGGAGUGAUCAUUUGUGACACAACACUGCAAGAAGGUAGUAAAUAUAUGAUGCUUCAUUGGCAGUGAUCUCAUUUGAAUAUUUACCUAAUGAGGGGGGGAUUAAACGGGUUAAUGACACAGUCACACCUGGGGAUGCCAGUUCUGCUGCCCAGCAUGGCAGGAGGGAUGGAAAUUUGGGAGAACAGGCAGCUGGUGGAAAGCUCAGUUCUUGUGCUUGCUGAUUCAUGCAAGGAGGGAAGAGAAGAGGAACAAAAAUGCGCCAGCAUGGGGAAAACAAAAGGCACCAUCUGGCUCUGAGAGAUCUGGGCUCAUCCAAACAGCAGCAGGACAGACUCCCACAUCCAGACAAGCUCUGCUGGGCUGGGAGCAACAUUCCAGCCUUGGCCUGCUCUGAUCCCACAUUCCUGAGGGAUCAAAGCACCCAACCCACCAACUCUGCUUUCCUGACAGCCCAAAGGACGGGGAGGCCUCCAGCAAGGAGAGAGCAACACUGGCAGAGAAAAGGGAGAGUUUGGAAAGUAAACUCCAUCCUUGGAUGAAUGGUGAAUGAAACGUGGAGUGAGGAUCACACAGAGCAAGUGGAGAUUUGGUCAGGUCUGAGCCUCAGUGCAGAACAAAGGCAGGGCAGCAGUGGCAUUAAACCAAACCCAGCUCAGCACAGAGCUUCUGUAGAAACACACUGGGCUAUAGGAGAUACUGCAGUCAUUUUGUAUGUCUUAUUUUAAUUAAGAUUUCAUCAUAGUUGUGUUAUUUUUCAUCAUAAAUCUCAUGGUUAAUUCUAUUUCUUUUCUCAGAUAACUGAUUUUUCAUUACUUCACCCAAAUCAACUCAAAACACCUGAUGACUGAGCAAGGCAAAAGUCUCCAACAUCAGGAUGAGACAGAAACAGACAGAGAGAGAUGCUGAGCUGGGCUUCUCUACCAGGAUUUGUCCCUUUCCUUUGGAAGAAAACAGCCCAGCAGAUGUCACUUCAGGAAGGUAGGAUCAGUCUCCCCUGUCCAGGUAAAACAUUCUACAAUUCAGAUGCAGUGCAAAUCCAGGUGUAACAGGUUACCCUCCAUCCUCAGCCCUCCCUUGCUGCAAUCUCCUGCUUUAUCGAUUCAAUACCACAUUUUCCUCCCUGGGCAACAAUAGAUUCUGCUUUAAUACCACUAACUGCAACAUUUGUGUCCACUUCAGUGGCAUUUAAAAUACUUUGUCUCCUGCAAUAACACCUCGUUUGUAGCACUCCUGUAACACUCCUGCCAUCAAUGGCACAUCUUUGUAUCAGCACUUAGAACACUUGUAAUAGAGCCCUCUAAUCUUUGAAUGGUGGAUGUUAACAAAGGAAUUUUAUCAGAAAUUCUAGGGAUUUAGGGAAUCCAGGAUUCAGUGAAGUGCAGCUCUAACACCGAGGCUGCCCUUGGGUUGUCUCUUCUCCCUUUGUGGUUUGGGACCCCAAGAGAUACAUUUAAUUAAAGUGUCCUGAGGGUUAUCCUCUGCUUCUCCCCGUGGACUGCAAACCCAUCUGGUGAGUGUUAAUUAGGUUGGCAAGCAGUCGAUUAAGCCAAAUUGCCACUUUUGUGUCCCCCAGACACUGCCCUGUGCCUGAGGGAUGACACCUGCCACAGCUGCAUUCCAGCUGUUCCCAGGGGGCUCUGAUGUGUCAGAGAAGCUCCAUUUCAGUAAUAAACAUCACUAAACAGGCCACCAAACAUACAGUGAGUCUGGGUUGUGUCCCCACCCCUUUCUUUGGAUCACAAUGUCAAGCUCUUCAAAACAUUAAAUGUGAAAUAUUUUUUUCAAAGCCUCGUAAAAGGAAGUUUUAAAGGUAAAUUGCACAAUUCCUACAGCUGACCCCAACCCUGUGGAGACUCCUGUGAAACUGGGAGCAUUAGUAAUGCUGUAACAAUCUGCAUUUCACUUACAAGUGUCCUGUUAAAAACAGACAGAGAACUCUUUCAAUAUUCACUUUAGUACCUAAAUCCUGUCAGCUUCUCCCAAGACAUUUCUGGUCAAUGAAAGCUCUACCAGGAGCAUGGAGCAAGCCAGAAUCCCAUAGGUUUUACCACAAUCAUUUAUUCAAAGUUUGGUUUCAUUUGUCUCACCUGAAAGACAAACAGAAUUAAACAGACAUGCAACACUGCCUGUGAAAAAUGAAGCAGUUAUCCUUUACAGUGCAAGAGUGUAAAGCUUGAUUUAUUUACACAUUUUAAAGUGACAGGAGAACGUUGGAGGCAGAUCAUUUCAUACAUUCAGCUGUGCUCCACAGAGUGCAGUUACACAUAAAACACACUGAGGAUGUUUGAAGUGCUCUGGCCAGAGAUGUCAGCUCUGGUAAGGAAGGCAGGGAUGAACCCAAGGAUUUCUCCAGGUGCUGAGAAAUCCCUUCCAUUUGGAGUCUGGGGUGCUGUGCCACGUGCAGGGUCCUGCAUGAACCCUGCAGCGCUGACAUUCGCAGAUCAGAGUGUGCUGGACAACACCUACAUAAUUUUUCACCCUGGAAUGUGGCACAGGGCUCCUCUCCUUUAAACCUUGCUGUGCUGCUCUGCUGUAAAUAUUUGCUGCAGUCCCAGGCAUGGCCACUGUCACCUCAGACUGACAAAUAUUCUGUGAAAAGCUCAGUGUGAGGGUGCAAAACCCUUCCUGUUGCAGCUUCUCUGGACUAGAAGGGAGGUGAGGAGUUUAAUUCACUCCUGAAAGAGCACAGAAGUCCUUCAGUCAAGUUUAAACAACACACUUGGUUUCUCUGGGCCCUGCUCAUGCCUUUUCUUAGGCUGAAGAGCAGAAAAUAACAUUUUUUGGAAAACUGGGAGAAAAAGCAAGAAAGAGGAAUAUGCAUAAAAUAAAAAAAAAAAACCCAAACAAACAAAAUCAACCUUAUUUUGAGAUUCCAGUGUUGAACAGCAGCAGCAAAGAGGAGUGAGGUGCAGUCCCUCAGUCCUACCCCUACAUCAGUGAUGGAGCUGAGGCCCAUGGCCAAGGAACAGCCCAGGCUCCACUGCUGUGGCACAGUGAUCAAAAACAUUGUGAUUGAUGUGCUGGAGAAACAGACACCACCUCCAGUGCAGGCCUUUGGCAGGGAAGUUUCCAGAAGCAAACAAAGGAAGAUUUCCCUGUGGCUGCAGGUAAAGGGAACUGUCAUUAUUAAGUAGAAUUAUUUGAGCACACGGAGCCUGUGUAAAUAAAACAUGGUUAUGUAAAGCUUUGGAUUUAGAAUCUUUGCAAAGAAAGGGCCAAAGCCACACAAUAGCACAAAAGCUCAGCUCGUGGCUGGGAGCAGUUUCACUCAGAGAAGGGCUGAGGGCUCUGUGAAGGGAACAAGGGCUCAGGAGAAUUGGGGAGUUUACAGCAAAACCAGCCCUGAACAGGAGGCACAGCCACAGCUCUGUCCCCUGGCUGUGUCCAUCACUCAGGGCUGUGCUGAGGAGGAAAACCCAACCCCAAAUCCAGGGCUGCCAAGUCUGUGCUGGGUUUAAUCACUGCUGAGAGCUGGGACCAUCACUGAUCUGGGUGUCAGCAGCCAUUUAGGCCCUUCUGAAUGAUUUCCCACCACUCAAUUAAGCACAGAGAACAUUGCCAUGGAACAAGUGUGUGGUGGCACAGCUUGUUUUCAGACACUGUGUUCUGUGGCUGCAGAACCAAUAGGUCACAACAGGUUGAUGAAAUGGGAAGAGAUAAGGAAAGGCAGCAUUCCUGUGCCCUUCCCAUGCAGCCUCAUUGUGCAUUGUUAAUGAACAAAAGCUGCCCAUAAAUUCACCAACAAUCCAUGGCCACAUCCAAAGGCACUCAAUCAGUGUCACUGCACCCCAGCAGAUGAAUGCUCUGGCAGCAGGAGCCCAUUAACAUCCUUAUCUUGCUUAAUCACAAAUCAAGGAUUGAGGGUGAAAGCCAAGCUGUCAUUUCUUGAGGUUUCCCAAGUUGCAGUGCAGGGGAUGCCACUGAUAAGAUCUGAAUUGUGCCCAGCUGGUGAAGGAACCCGGGUACAGCCCCUGGGCACCUCCCCUGGCAGGGGAAGGUUAUUUCUCUAAGCUGCACAAAAAUGCCAGAGCAAUCCAAAGCAUGCCCAGAUUGAAUCAGUCUGGCAAAGCAAACAAAUGCAAAGGAACAGUUCUGUUGUCAUUUACAACAACAAGAACCUGGAAUAAUCAUGUGCAGGUCAGGGGAGUUGUUGGGAAUUUCUGGCAGUGGGAACAGAAACUGGCCAUGAGUCAAUUUAACAAAUAAAAAUAAAAAUAAAUAAAUGCAGAAAGCCACCAUUCCAAAUCUAAGAUAAUCCCAAACUGCCUGGUAUGGGGGAAUCACUUAAAUAUACACAGAACAUGAGCACUAUUCCUUCCAAAUAAAGUUCCAGGGUCCUGGAGACUCCACUGUGCAGACAGCCCAGACCACACUGAGUGGACUUAAAAUUCAGUUUCUCAGAAAAAAAACCCCAAUUUUAGAGCAGCCAGUGCUAUCAAAGUGCAGGAUAAGCAGUGAAUGUUGUACUUUCUCCUCAAGUGACAGUUCCCCAUUGUCCCCCCGGGUCCAUUCUCCCUCAGUAUCAGCUCCUGGCCAUCUCCUGGAAGCUGGGAAGAUAAAUAUCAAAGUACACAAAGCUCCAUUAUCCUCACGGGCCUCAGUGAGUGCUGGGCAACUUCUCUCCUUAGGUCAUCCACAGUAGUAGACAAGUAUUGGUUUUCCUUUUUU